RNAcentral lists this transfer RNA (74 nucleotides) under Elizabethkingia miricola. RNAcentral's name for it is "tRNA-Trp". It matches the Rfam family "tRNA". Rfam says of the family: Transfer RNA (tRNA) molecules are approximately 80 nucleotides in length. Lineage: Bacteria; Pseudomonadati; Bacteroidota; Flavobacteriia; Flavobacteriales; Weeksellaceae. RNAcentral also lists the same sequence under 2 other names. The record is from RNAcentral.
GCGUCUGUAGUGUAAUGGUAGCACAAAUGAUUCCAAACCAUUUAGUAAGAGUUCGAAUCUUUUCAGGCGUGCAA